UACGUAGGGGGCAAGCGUUGUCCGGAUUCAUUGGGCGUAAAGAGCGUGUAGGCGGCCAGGUAGGUCGGUUGUGAAAACUGGAGGCUCAACCUUCAGAGGUCGACCGAAACCAUCUGGCUAGAGUCCGGGAGAGGAGAGUGGAAUUCCUGGUGUAGCGGUGAAAUGCGCAGAUAUCAGGAAGAACACCCGUGGCGAAAGCGGCUCUCUGGGCAGGUCCUGACGCUGAGGAGCGAAAGUGUGGGGAGCGAACAGG
Molecule: ribosomal RNA, 253 nt
Filed under: uncultured bacterium
Lineage: Bacteria
Description: partial 16S ribosomal RNA
Rfam family: Bacterial small subunit ribosomal RNA
Source: RNAcentral